This 652-nucleotide ribosomal RNA is filed under the name uncultured bacterium. RNAcentral's name for it is "bacterial SSU rRNA". It matches the Rfam family "Bacterial small subunit ribosomal RNA", at positions 202 to 842 of the family's 1533-position model. The record is from RNAcentral.
AAAGAUGGUUCUGCUAUCACUCUUGGAUGGACCUGCGGUGCAUUAGCUAGUUGGUAAGGUAACGGCUUACCAAGGCAAUGAUGCAUAGCCGAGUUGAGAGACUGAUCGGCCACAUUGGGACUGAGACACGGCCCAAACUCCUACGGGAGGCAGCAGUAGGGAAUCUUCCACAAUGGACGCAAGUCUGAUGGAGCAACGCCGCGUGAGUGAAGAAGGGUUUCGGCUCGUAAAGCUCUGUUGGUAGUGAAGAAAGAUAGAGGUAGUAACUGGCCUUUAUUUGACGGUAAUUACUUAGAAGGUCACGGCUAACUACGUGCCAGCAGCCGCGGUAAUACGUAGGUGGCAAGCGUUGUCCGGAUUUAUUGGGCGUAAAGCGAGUGCAGGCGGUUCAAUAAGUCUGAUGUGAAAGCCUUCGGCUCAACCGGAGAAUUGCAUCAGAAACUGUUGAACUUGAGUGCAGAAGAGGAGAGUGGAACUCCAUGUGUAGCGGUGGAAUGCGUAGAUAUAUGGAAGAACACCAGUGGCGAAGGCGGCUCUCUGGUCUGCAACUGACGCUGAGGCUCGAAAGCAUGGGUAGCGAACAGGAUUAGAUACCCUGGUAGUCCAUGCCGUAAACGAUGAGUGCUAAGUGUUGGGAGGUUUCCGCCUCUCA